UCGUUCGUUUCAGAAUGAGCCAGUUGCCAAUUAAAAUUGAUUUCAUGAUUUUUUUUCGUAGGUGAGACUGAUUCGAUAAAUGAAGAUGAAAUCAAAUCCAGGCAAAGGAGAGAAUUCGGAGAUGUGACUGUUAUCCUUGAUGGAGACGUGAAGAGGAUCUCUCCACAGUCCCUCGGCAUCCUUACCUCGACAGCUCAGACCUUUGUCCAAAAGGGGACCACCACCGAGUUUGCCACUCAAGUCUUGGGAACAACCCUAGGCUCAAACUAUGCUAAACUUGUGUCUGCAGGGUCGAGAGUUAUCUACGAUAACGAUCUCAAAUCGUCUAUAAAGAGGUUCUCUUCCCUCGAUCCUUUCCUUAUAUUCCCUACCAUCCAUCCCUCCCAAGUUAUUAUUACAGGAAACGCAUACGAUUCGGUAGAAAGGGUUCCUGAGAUCCCUGAAAUAGUUAACAAUGACGAGCCGAAGGAUGAAAGGCUCGAGGAGGCAACUGUUCAAUCAGUUUCCUCGUCCGAGCGUAAAGAGAAGGGUUCCAAAGACAGUCUGGAGAUUAGCGAAAAUGUCGUUGCAUCUGUUCGGAAAGAAACAUCUGUUAAGAGAAACGAGAGAGCCAACGAUGAUAUAAAACCUGCAAAUGUGGCAAAACAUAGAUACCUACCCACAUUUACAGUGCGACAUGACUUUACAUCCAGCGGUUUUACAAAUGAUUUUACAGAGCCUGCGGAAGAGGAAAGAACAGAGAAGAACGAACCUAGAGUUACAAAAUCUCAAAGAUUAUCAAAAAAUCUUUUCAAACCAGAACGAGAACCCGCCACAACAACGAACAAACCUCCAAAAUAUGACACAGUAACGUAUUUUGGAUUUGCUGACUUCGUAACAACAGUAGGGAAUACUGUGAUCGUGUUCAUGCCAAAUACGCCAGCCUCUUCUGUGCCUCAAGAUGUGACCAAGGUGAGAGGGGAGGCAACAUUACGGCCAGAGGAUGCUAUUCAUGCAACUAAAGCCCAGAGUUCUCUCAUUCAACCCACAAAAACGCAAACUAAAGUUGACGCAACGCAGGUAGUUCCACCGUACAGGCAACGUCAACAACAGAUUGAGCAAGCACGACGUAAGAACAAACCUCAAAACCAACUGAGUAGCUCGAAGUUGCUCGAAUCGUCUAUGUCGGAUAUCAAUGAAGAGGGAAAUCUUCACGCUCCAACUCAGGUAAAAUCAAGUCAGACAGAAACCGAGCCUUUAUCGAAAUACGCAUACACAGCUACCAGAGUCUUUAAUUCGGACGAACAUGCUACUGGUCUCGUCAAGUCUAUCAUAUUAAACAUGGCUAUGAUGGAACGACGACCGAUUUUACGACAUUUGUCUAUGGCACGCACAUAGAUCGAAAAUACACCCAACUACUUCAGUCAACAUCGGUAGUUAUAAAAGACAAACUGAAAACUAAUGAAGUUCAUCUAAAACCUCCUACGAAAUUAGAGGGCUCUAUCGACCAUGACUUUAACGAGAUUACAACGGAAAACGCCAAGCCAAAAUUUAAUCUUAAAGAACCUCAUCGAUUCCAACCGCAACGUCACCAUAACACUAGUUCUAAACGUCCCUUUGAGGAAUCUAAUCAAGAUAGGUCGAGAAAAAUUAUUCAUUCCUCCAAGAACAUCCCUCACCAAGCAGCUCAGCCAGAAAACAAAACGAAAUUCAGACUGGUAAGGUCAGACUUUUACCGUCCACAGUUUUCAUAACGAACACUUAUUUGACCACAUUCUUCUUCCCUGCAAACGAUGUUCCCACAUCCUCCUCAGUUCAGUCACGUGAAGUAGUUUCAACAAAAGUAAAAUAUGUUAGAGUUAAAGGCACUUCAAAGCUCCCAAUCGCUUCUAGCUCUGUCGAGUCAACGCCGAAAGCUUCUGUGACUGAAAAAGCUCCCACCACCGAACCGCUACCCGUUACUUUCCGCUCGACCACGGAAGCAGUAACUGAGGCACUCAGUGACAACGCAACGACCGUUUCAGAGACUC
RNAcentral lists this long non-coding RNA (2009 nucleotides) under Bemisia tabaci. RNAcentral describes it as "lncRNA ENSASIAIIG002300". The record is from RNAcentral. Lineage: Eukaryota; Metazoa; Arthropoda; Insecta; Hemiptera; Aleyrodidae.